UUUAAAGAGAGUUUGAUCCUGGCUCAGGACGAACGCUGGCGGCGUGCCUAAUACAUGCAAGUCGAACGAACGGAGGAAGAGCUUGCUCUUCCAAAGUUAGUGGCGGACGGGUGAGUAACACGUGGGCAACCUGCCUGUAAGUUGGGGAUAACUCCGGGAAACCGGGGCUAAUACCGAAUGAUAAAGUGUGGCGCAUGCCACGCUUUUGAAAGAUGGUUUCGGCUAUCGCUUACAGAUGGGCCCGCGGUGCAUUAGCUAGUUGGUAGGGUAAUGGCCUACCAAGGCAACGAUGCAUAGCCGACCUGAGAGGGUGAUCGGCCACACUGGGACUGAGACACGGCCCAGACUCCUACGGGAGGCAGCAGUAGGGAAUCUUCCGCAAUGGACGAAAGUCUGACGGAGCAACGCCGCGUGUAUGAAGAAGGUUUUCGGAUCGUAAAGUACUGUUGUUAGAGAAGAACAAGGAUAAGAGUAACUGCUUGUCCCUUGACGGUAUCUAACCAGAAAGCCACGGCUAACUACGUGCCAGCAGCCGCGGUAAUACGUAGGUGGCAAGCGUUGUCCGGAUUUAUUGGGCGUAAAGCGCGCGCAGGCGGUCUUUUAAGUCUGAUGUGAAAGCCCCCGGCUUAACCGGGGAGGGUCAUUGGAAACUGGAAGACUGGAGUGCAGAAGAGGAGAGUGGAAUUCCACGUGUAGCGGUGAAAUGCGUAGAUAUGUGG
Molecule: ribosomal RNA, 719 nt
Filed under: Listeria monocytogenes
Lineage: Bacteria; Bacillati; Bacillota; Bacilli; Caryophanales; Listeriaceae
Description: bacterial SSU rRNA
Rfam family: Bacterial small subunit ribosomal RNA
Source: RNAcentral